UACAGAGGGGGCAAGCGUUAUUCGGAAUUGUUGGGCGUAAAGGGCGCGUAGGCGGCUUGGCAAGUGGAUGGUGAAAUCCCUCGGCUUAACCGAGGAACUGCCGUCCAAACUGCUUCGCUUGAGACCGGGAGAGGUGAGUGGAAUUCCCAGUGUAGCGGUGAAAUGCGUAGAUAUUGGGAGGAACACCAGUGGCGAAGGCGGCUCACUGGACCGGUACUGACGCUGAUGCGCGAAAGCGUGGGGAGCAAACGGG
RNAcentral lists this ribosomal RNA (253 nucleotides) under uncultured bacterium. Its description in RNAcentral is "partial 16S ribosomal RNA". It matches the Rfam family "Bacterial small subunit ribosomal RNA", at positions 524 to 776 of the family's 1533-position model. The record is from RNAcentral.